CGUCUAUAUACGUAUAGCAUAUCAAUAAGCGGAGGAAAAGAAACUAACUAGGAUUCCCUCAGUAACGGCGAGUGAAGCGGGAAGAGCUCAAAUUUGAAAUCUUCAAGGUUUUACCUUAACGAAUUGUAGUUUAAAGAAGUGUUUUCUGUUGGAGUUUUGGUAAAAGUUCUUUGGAAAAGGACAUCAUAGAGGGUGAGAAUCCCGUAUUUGACCAUUAUCUCCAGCUUUGUGAUACACUUUCAAAGAGUCGGAUUGUUUGGGAAUGCAGUCCAAAAUGGGUGGUAAAUUUCAUCUAAAGCUAAAUACUGGCGAGAGACCGAUAGCGAACAAGUACCGUGAGGGAAAGAUGAAAAGAACUUGAAAAGAGAGUUAAACAGUACGUGAAAUUGUCAAAAGGGAAGCGUUUGACACCAGUGUUGUUUUCUCGAAAAUCAAUUAAAAAAGGCCGGAUUUUGUGUUGUAUUGACUUUAUCAGCUUUCUGCACUUUUCUCUUGUCUUUUUUAAUGCACUUUUCGUUUAACAAGUCAACAUCAAUUUCUUUUGUUGUAAAAGGAGUAAGUCGGAAGGUGGCUUUAACUCUUCGGAUAAGUGUUUAUAGCCCUAUACUCCUACAAUCGGAGAGAUUGAGGUCUGCAGCGUAGAUCCUUCGGGGUUAGAUACACUUGUGCUAAGUUGUAGCUUUUCAUAGACAACUUGUUGACUAUGUUUAGUCUUGUAGCUUACUCGCUGACGCUAUUUUACCUACGCUUAGGAUGUUGACUGAUAUGUAGUCGUA
This 776-nucleotide ribosomal RNA is filed under the name uncultured Neocallimastigales. Its description in RNAcentral is "partial large subunit ribosomal RNA". It matches the Rfam family "Eukaryotic large subunit ribosomal RNA", at positions 26 to 644 of the family's 3401-position model. The record is from RNAcentral. Lineage: Eukaryota; Fungi; Neocallimastigomycota; Neocallimastigomycetes; Neocallimastigales.